This 301-nucleotide ribosomal RNA is filed under the name uncultured bacterium. RNAcentral's name for it is "partial 16S ribosomal RNA". It matches the Rfam family "Bacterial small subunit ribosomal RNA", at positions 509 to 809 of the family's 1533-position model. The record is from RNAcentral.
CAGUCGCCGCGGUAAUAUGUAGGUGGCGAGCGUUGUCCGGAAUUAUUGGGCGUAAAGGGAGCGCAGGCGGACAUAUAAGUCCAUCUUAAAAGUGCGGGGCUCAACCCCGUGAGGGGAUGGAAACUGUAUGCCUUGAGUGCAGGAGAGGAAAGCGGAAUUCCCAGUGUAGCGGUGAAAUGCGUAGAUAUUGGGAGGAACACCAGUGGCGAAGGCGGCUUUCUGGACUGUAACUGACGCUGAGGCUCGAAAGCCAGGGGAGCGAACGGGAUUAGAUACCCCUGUAGUCCCUGUCUCUUAUACA